UACGUAGGGUGCGAGCGUUAAUCGGAAUUACUGGGCGUAAAGCGUGCGCAGGCGGCUUUUUAAGCCAGACGUGAAAUCCCCGGGCUUAACCUGGGAAUGGCAUUCAGGACUGCGAGGCUCGAGUGUGGCAGAGGGAGGUGGAAUUCCACGUGUAGCAGUGAAAUGCGUAGAGAUGUGGAGGAACACCGAUGGCGAAGGCAGCCUCCUGGGCCAGCACUGACGCUCAUGCACGAAAGCGCGGGGAGCAAACAGG
RNAcentral lists this ribosomal RNA (253 nucleotides) under uncultured bacterium. Its description in RNAcentral is "partial 16S ribosomal RNA". It matches the Rfam family "Bacterial small subunit ribosomal RNA", at positions 524 to 776 of the family's 1533-position model. The record is from RNAcentral.